Molecule: long non-coding RNA, 4379 nt
Filed under: Canis lupus familiaris (dog)
Lineage: Eukaryota; Metazoa; Chordata; Mammalia; Carnivora; Canidae
Description: lncRNA (ENSCAFG00000055404.1)
Source: RNAcentral
UUUUUUUUUUUUUUUUUUAUGUAACUGGUAAAAAAAGUCAUAUGUUUUACUGUAAGUACCAAAUCCUAUUGCAUUCAAUAAUCUAGGAGGUAUCUACUAUUCUAAAUGAAUGUCUUCUGAAGAAUUCUUGACCAAGAUUGAAAAAUAUAAACCAGAGCAAAACAAAUAAUCUAUUUUUACUUAAGGAACUUCAGUUCAGUCUUUCUACUAAAGUACUGACGACCUAUUACUAUGAUCAUCAUCCUUGAUCCGCGUCCCAUUUAAGUGGAUGUGUUCACUGCUGUUCUUGGUACCUGAUGAAGGGUUGAAUGAUGGGGUGCCUGAUAGUAUUUCCAUGGAAAAUGCUACUAGUAGUUGAUAAAGCCAGGCCUCUAGGGGCCAAUUUUCUAAAACUCAUGGGGAAAAAUAGGAGCUAGAAAAUGAACUACCUGGUUAUAUAUAUUUUUUUCAUUGUUUCAAGGAGACUAUUUUCAAGAAUGAUUGUGACAGGAAUAAAAAGACAAGGACAAGUAGCCCCAAACUGUCAAAAUUCCAGCAUUUUUGCAGCUGCUUUCCUGAUAUAUGCCAAUGACUUGUGCCAAAGAGGGGGGGAAAGAAAGGAAGAACAGUUUCUUUUCUCAAAGAUGACGUCAAUAUAUCUGAAGCACUGGCUAAGGAUUAGUAUAGAUGGUAUUAUUGACAAUUUGUCUUUAAGGACAGAUUAAGUUUCCCCAUUAAAGGGUGAGAACAUCCUGUCACAAACCUACAAAGUACUUACCAACCUAAUGUUGAAAGGAGGAUAUACCACUCUUUCACCUAUAACAUUAAGUCCAAUUAUUAAGUACCUAGGCUCUGUGCUAUAGCUGCACCAAAUUUGAAAUUUUAUUUCUCAAAAUCACCCUGUGAAAUUAUUAUUAUUGCCAUUCUGUAGGAUGAGAAAAAUAUCUCAGAGAAGUUCAGUCCUUUGUUCAAAAUUGCAUGACAGUGAAGUAGUAUCACAGUCCUUUCUAAUAUAAUGCAGUUGCUCUCCCUCUAUCCAUCAAACAAAUAACACUAACAACUGUAGACAAUCCAAGACAAAGAAAAGAAUUUUAAAAGCAAGUGAGAGGAGAAAGUUAAAAAAAAAAAACACAUGAGGAAGAUUGCCUGCUUGAGAUUUUUUUUUAAAGGAGAUAGGAGAGAUAAGUAAUUUUGUUUCAAUUUGCCAUGUUAAUCAAGGUGAAUUAGAGACUAUAUCUUGCCAAAAGGAAGGCUAUGAAUGGGUUAUUGGCCAGUUCAGUCAGGAAAAGAUUGGCAAUAAUUGAGGUGGGAAAAUAGCUUAAUAUGGAGAUAAUCCCUGGCUAAUUUAAAUAAAAAGGUGGUUAGAAAGUAUCAAUUACCUCCUCUUUUCAAAUGUUAACUAGAUUUUUAUUAUGAAACAUAAUUAUUUAAUGUCUCAAAUAGUUGACUUUUAAGACAGCCAAAGCCUAACCAGGAUUUUAGUGAAAUCUUUUAAACAGACGUUCAGGAAUGAGACUGCUAUGGAUUUUGUUUUUGACAUCUGAGGAUUUUCAAUUUGGGCAUAACGUGUCAUUCUGGCUUCAACAUAUGGGAAAGUUCUGGAUUCUGGUGCCAUUUAAUUUCCAUUUGGCCCCACACACACUCCUUCAGUUCCUGUAUCUCCUUUACCUUAUAUGCAAAAUGAAGAGAACCUAUGUUUUAAGGAUUUUGUGAGGGUGAAAUGAGAUGAUAAAUGCCAUGGCAUUUUGUGCAAAUGAAAAUGAUGAUUAUAAUCUGUCCACUUCCAUUUUGAUUCCUUAUACCAGUAGAAGGUUCAACUUUAUUACUCUAGCUAUUAUACAUUUUAGUGAUUUUUCUUAGUUUUUGUCCUCCUUAAUUAGUCCUUUCUCAACGGUAAGAUGCCAAUUGAAUGAGUAGCAGUUUGAUAGUUUCUACCUUUCAUCCUAAAUUAAUUGUACUAGAAAGAUCAAUUCAUUCUGCUGAUGAAUUGAUUCUAGGUUUUAGAAUCAAAAAGACCUGUAGUUAAAUCUCUACCUCUGCAAAUUCCGAACUCUGUGAUCAUGGACCAGUCAUUUAGGCCCUCUGAGUUCAUUUCUUCAUUUAUAAAAUGGGAGGAUGAGAGUUCAGAAAGAUCAUGUAUGUAUAGGCAAUGGUAUACUCUGAUUAGAUGAAGUAUAUUUUCCUUUAUCUCUCUCAGUUUUGUAUUUCAGCUCUAAAUCCAGAAGACAGGCUCUCUCCUACGUAAUUUUGAUAUACAGGCCUGAUUCAUUAUAGUGGUUUAAGGAAACUGAGUAAAUAACAAGACAGAUGGGAUCAUGAGCACACAGGUACUCCUGAAGGGGAAGAAUAUCCCAGAUUUCUCCUUUUGUCGUAGUGCCACUGGUGUUUAUGAAAUUGACCAGCCACUUCCCUCUUCAGAAUGACCAGCUGUGAGGGCUUAGCUUGCUUCAUGUAGCCAGAAGCAGAAUAGCCAGGAUAACAAAUCACAGCUGAGUUCCCAGGUUGAUCUGGAGCAUGUACUUGGCAUAGCAGACUAAAUUCUUAUUAUCUUAUGCAUGGAGUUAAUAUGAGCCUCAUUAGUGACAGUUAUUGUAUGAUUACCUUGCCAAAAACAAUGGACAUAUUAUUUUUAUAGAUUUAUUCAAUGAUAUCUGCUCAACCAACAAUUAUUUAACACUUUUGUGUUAAGCCCUAUACUUGACACUGGGGACUUAAAAAAAAAAAAAGAAAAAAAAAAGAGUAAAUCAAGGUCACUGCUUUCCAGGAACAUGAAAUUUAGAAAGAAAGAGAAAUAGAUGCACCAUUGACUAUUUUACAGCCAUGACAAAUCCUAGAUGCCUAACAGGGUAUGAUUAACCCUACCCACGUUGUGGAGGAGGCAGACUUCUCAGAUAAAGUUAAUUUUCUUGGAUCCAAAUUGUAAAAGUCACAGUAAGGGAACAGGGAAGCUAAAAUUAAACAAAAUGCGAAUGGGCUGGGUUUCAAUAUUCUCAUGAGUUGGAAGAUGAUUCAGUUACUAGGAAGAACCAGAAAAAUGAUCUUCAAAUACUUCUUCCCUUGUCUCUUCCUGGAUUCCCAAGGAUAGCCCAGUGUGGAUGCCCCUUAAAAUAAUUCCCCACUACUGUGUGACCAGGAUAGACCAGUUCUCUGGUAUCUUAGAGCUAGUCUCCUUCUAAGCCACAUGGCUUAUUUUAAAAGCUGGAAAGAAGGUGUAAGGGGUGUUUGCCAAAAGUGGCAAUUGAUCUGCCCAAACACUGGGAGGGCUGACUCUGCCCUUGCCAAUAGUCAUUUGGAGUUAUAGAGACUCUUUCUGUGACACUCUCAAAGUUCUUUAGUCUCAACUCCCACUCUAUUCAAACAAUCUGCAGAAAUUAAAGUCUUCUACAGUGCCUCAAUAUUAGAAAUGUAAUUCCUUAAAAUAUGUUUGCACAUAAAUGUCAGUACCAUAGCUGUACACCAAUACUUCUUUCUAAGACCUUGGAGGUCUAACUGGGAUGAGUGCUACUGGUACAGGAAGCAGAAUUAAAUCAGAUGGAAAUGGUCAUACCACAUUAAAAGUCCUUACUUAAAUUGAACCCUUGGAAAAAUAUUUUUGCACAUGAAUUGAUCCAUCUACUCUUGGCAAAAGAUCAGAAGUUGAAUUUCUAAUGGAUUCCUUUGUGCCUUAGCUGCCUGAAUGAUUGAAAAUAAAGAUGCACUUGGGAGUUCAGCUUUGGGGAGGCUGUAUGACACAGUGGUUAAGAUCUCAGACUUGGGGUUAGGUUCCCUAUUUUGCAAAGCCAGCGCCAGCCCUUACUGUGCCCUUGGGCUAUUUACUUAAAAACCCUGGUCCUGAAUUUCUUCAUCUGUAGAAUCAGGACUACAAUAAUAUGAAUAUCACUUCAGUGAUUGGAUGAAUUAAUACAUGGAAAACUCAUAAAGCCUGAUCUGUUGUAAGCAUUCAAAAAGGUUAGCUAUUAUAUUAGCUGCUUUAAUUUAUUGCCAUACUCCUCUUUUCUAAAAUGUUUUGUCUUGACCUGUACUGCAUUCUCCAUUUAUCUCGACUUCUUUCUGAAAUAUGGAGAAUAUGUAACUCUUCUGGAAAAAGCUCCAGCUACAGAGACCAUGACACCUGGGGUGGGAAUCAGGAUCCCUUACUCUGUGUGGCCUUAGCAAAAAUACAUAAUCUGUCAGUUAAACUAUCUCUAAAAUAUCUUUGCAGGGCUUUGAUGUAAAUAAAAUCAUUUAUAUCAAGUGUUGCUCAAUACUUGACAAUUCUUUCCACUGCCUCUUUGCAUACCUCAGUUUUUGAAGGUUUCUUUCUUUUUUUUUAGUCACAAGGUGGAGAUGGUAACACCCACCUGGCCCAAAAUAGAGCUAGAACAGCUGCAGUUGAAAUUGGGGUGCAGGCUAGCAGGUGG